Molecule: ribosomal RNA, 274 nt
Filed under: uncultured bacterium
Lineage: Bacteria
Description: partial 16S ribosomal RNA
Rfam family: Bacterial small subunit ribosomal RNA
Source: RNAcentral
AUACGGAGGGGGUUAGCGUUGUUCGGAAUUACUGGGCGUAAAGCGCACGUAGGCGGAUUGGAAAGUUGGGGGUGAAAUCCCAGGGCUCAACCCUGGAACUGCCUCCAAAACUAACAGUCUAGAGUUCGAGAGAGGUGAGUGGAAUUCCAAGUGUAGAGGUGAAAUUCGUAGAUAUUUGGAGGAACACCAGUGGCGAAGGCGGCUCGCUGGCUCGAUACUGACGCUGAGGUGCGAAAGCGUGGGGAGCAAACAGGAUUAGAUACCCUAGUAGUCC